CAGUCGCCACGGUAAAACAGAGGGUGCGAGCGUUAAUCGGAUUUACUGGGCGUAAAGCGUGCGUAGGCGGCUAAUUGAGUCGGAUGUGAAAUCCCCGAGCUUAACUUGGGAAUUGCAUUCGAUACUGGUUAGCUAGAGUGUGGGAGAGGAUGGUAGAAUUCCAGGUGUAGCGGUGAAAUGCGUAGAGAUCUGGAGGAAUACCGAUGGCGAAGGCAGCCAUCUGGCCUAACACUGACGCUGAGGUACGAAAGCAUGGGGAGCAAACAGGAUUAGAUACCCGAGUAGUCCCUGUCUCUUAUAC
RNAcentral lists this ribosomal RNA (301 nucleotides) under uncultured bacterium. RNAcentral's name for it is "partial 16S ribosomal RNA". It matches the Rfam family "Bacterial small subunit ribosomal RNA", at positions 509 to 807 of the family's 1533-position model. The record is from RNAcentral.